RNAcentral lists this long non-coding RNA (503 nucleotides) under Brassica napus (rape). RNAcentral describes it as "long non-coding RNA (BNAP_LNC023991)". Lineage: Eukaryota; Viridiplantae; Streptophyta; Magnoliopsida; Brassicales; Brassicaceae. The record is from RNAcentral.
GAAGAGGAUCCUCAGGGCGAUCACAUGUGGUUGUUUCGGUGGCCAAGAGGGCAAGACUUCCGCGCAGGAGCACACUCUGCAGCAAUCACAUCACCCAGGCAAGGAACCAGUUGGAUCUUCUGAAGCUGGAGAGCGCCUACCGCGGAACAGGAGGAUAGUUGGUCGCUCCGAGAGCGAGGAGUCGGACUGAGCCGCUCCACCACCUUAUCUCAUUGUGUUAUCCAUUUGUACAAUUUAUUUCUCCUUGCUUUUAUUUGCUUUAAAUCGGUUUGUUUGAGCCUUCCUCGAAUUUAUUUUCACAAGCAGGGAUGGUGUAAAGUAAGGCUGGGGGAGGCGAUUGUGUGAAACUAAUCUCCCUUUUUUUUCUUUUGGCUUUUAUGUUUGAGUCAGUCCUUGUGUUUUUAUCGAGUUAGUCCAAACUCUUGUGGGAAUUAUGACCCUAUUCUGUGAUGAUCUUUUAACUACCUCGUGUUCUAACUUUCUUAUUCAGUGACCUUAGCAGU